AGCGAACGCUGGCGGCGUGCUUAACACAUGCAAGUCGAGCGAAGGUGUUUCAAGGGUAACCUUGAGAUACACUUAGCGGCGGACGGGUGAGUAAUACGUGGAUAACUUACCUCUAGGCCUGGGAUAACCCCGGGAAACUGGGGCUAAUACCUGAUAAGACCACAUUGUCUACGGACAAAAGGGGUAAAAGGUGGCUGUGCAAACAGCUAUCGCCAAAAGAUAGGUUCACGUCCCAUCAGGCAGUGGCGAGGUAAUGGCUCACCAAACCAAAGACGGGUAGCCGGCCUUGGCGGGUGAACGGCCACACGGGGACUGAGACACGGCCCAGACUCCUACGGGAGGCAGCAGUGGGGAAUCUUGCGCAAUGGGCGAAAGCCUGACGCAGCGACGCCGCGUGAGGGAUGACGGCCUCGGUUGUAA
Molecule: ribosomal RNA, 420 nt
Filed under: uncultured bacterium
Lineage: Bacteria
Description: partial 16S ribosomal RNA
Rfam family: Bacterial small subunit ribosomal RNA
Source: RNAcentral